AUAUAUAUAUAUAUAUAUUUUUAUCAAAUUUGAACAAUGUGUGUUUGUAGAUUCGUGAAAAAGACGCUGGUGUUGGCAAUUGUUGUAGUCAUUUUAGCAAUAGUGGCAAUAGUUUUAUUAAUUUUGCAUUUCGUAAGUAAUUCUGGCACGAAUAGUCCAUUAUCGAUUACGAUUUAUUCAUAUGAAGUUUUAAACACGUAUGAUCACAAUCAUGUUAUGGAUCAAGAAGGAUAUCCAAAUGUUGGAUUUGGUGAUUUAUAUAAAAACGUAUUAUUAGACCAUCCCUUUACUCAAGGGUUAUUAUUUUUAAACCAUGAACAAUUAUUAGAGUCUUCUGGUUUAUAUGGAAGUAGUUAUAUACGAAAAUUCAAUUUAAAAGAUGGUAAGACUACAAAACAUAUGAACCUACCUAAGGCAUAUUUCGCAGAAGGUACAGCAUUAAUAAUUGACCCAAAAACGUACAGAAAACUUAUAUUAGUAUUAACAUAUAAAGAAAAAUCAUUACUUGCUUAUGAUUAUAAUACUUUAGAAUUAGUAAAAACUCUUUCAUAUGAAUUUAAUGGUUAUGGUUUAACAUCUAAUGUAGACAAUGAAAUAUCAGAAGAUUAUUUAAAAAAUAGUAAUUUCCCAAAGCAUCAAAAAUUAUGGAGUACGAGUGGUGAUGAGUUUUUAUAUGAACUCGAAAUACCUGAAAGUAUUAUGGAUGCAGAAACAAUAAAAAUUAAAAACAAAUUAAAACUAACUUGUGCAGGAUAUAUAAUUAAACAAGCUAACGAAUUAGAAUAUCAUCAUCGCACACAAACAAUUUUUGUUAAUGUAUUUUUAACGGAUUUAAUAAUCGAGUUUAAUGCAACCAAAGGAGAAUGUGUUAAAAUAAUAAAUUUGUAUGGUUUAGCGAAGAAAAAUACUAACUACGAAAAACAUCUUAAAACAGCAGAUGCCGUUUUAAAUGGUAUAGCAAUUAAACCUGAACACUCUUCACAAACAGUACCCAACUUAUUCGUGACAGGUAAAUAUUGGUCUAACCUCUUUGAAAUUAAAUUAGUGAAAUCUGCUGAUGCAUUGUCUGCAGCAAAAAUAUUACGUCCAUAUUUAACUACUUUUGGUAGUGGGAACAAAUAAUCUGAUUGUUACAUUUUUUUUUUUUUUAUGUUACAUUAUGAUGUGAUAUAUACAUGGUAUAUUUUUUGUAUAUGAGUAUGUACAUAUGUAUAUACAUUUUGUUUUAAUAUUGUUUUAUUAUUUUAUCUUUUUUUUUUUUGCUUUUUUUUUUUGCUCUUUUUUGCCUUUUUUUGCUUUUUUUUUUUGCUCUUUUUUGCCUUUUUUUGCUUUUUUUUUGUUGUGAUUAUACAUUCUUGCUUUAUGAAAACAUUUUUGCUUUAUAUUGAUUUAUAUAUAUGGAUUUAAAUUUAAAUUUAUAUAUAUAUAUAUAUAUAUAUAUAUAUAUAUAUAUAUGCUAUUUAUGAUUGAUUAUAAUUAAUUAAAAUAUUUUUAAAGCUGUUAAUGUAUUAAAAACGUAUGAAAGUUGCAUGCGUUAUUUUUUCAUUAGUUUUAAGUUUUUAAUUUUUAUUAUGUUUUAUUCAUUUUUUAUUUAUUAUAUUUUUUUUUACGUCUUUUAAAUUUAAUAAAACAUUAAUGUGUUUUAAAUAUAUUUUUUUU
RNAcentral lists this long non-coding RNA (1659 nucleotides) under Piliocolobus tephrosceles (Ugandan red Colobus). RNAcentral's name for it is "lncRNA (ENSPTEG00000000078.1)". Lineage: Eukaryota; Metazoa; Chordata; Mammalia; Primates; Cercopithecidae. The record is from RNAcentral.